RNAcentral lists this unclassified non-coding RNA (565 nucleotides) under Hevea brasiliensis (rubber tree). The record is from RNAcentral. Lineage: Eukaryota; Viridiplantae; Streptophyta; Magnoliopsida; Malpighiales; Euphorbiaceae.
AGUGGAGAAAGAUAAUCCAUAUAAUCGGUCCCAAUAAAUUUUUAGAAUAAAAACUUAGUUGAGUUAAGAAUUAAAAUACUAAAUAUUAUCUUAAAAACUAUUGUAGAAUAAAACCUAUAGCAUUAAAUAAACCUUCCACAAUUGUGCUACAUUGCAAUGCCAAGAGCAUAAAUAAAUAACUACUCUCCUCUUUUUUGAGCUUCUUAUAAGUUGAUUUAUGUAUUUUCAUUAAUAAUUGCAAAUUUGUAAUGUAUUUAUUUAGAUAAUUGGAAUUGCAUGCUUACUUACGUACCAUGAAAAUUAGAAGCAAAGAAAAAUAUUAUCCAUCGAUUUUUUUUUUCUAUCGAUUGGAGUUAACGAUUCAGAAAAAAUCAAUUGGACUUAAAGUUUUGACACGUGUAUUGUUAUUUGUACUCCUAUCAAUUAUAAAAGUAAAAAUAUUCUAAAAAAAAGAAAAAAACUUCUAAAUAAAUAAAUAAAUUCAAUUAAAAUCACAUCACAAGCACAAGAUAAACAAAAGCAAAUGCAUAUAUUGAGUUAGAUUACAAAGAGAGAGAGAGAGAGA